UACGUAGGGUGCGAGCGUUGUCCGGAAUUAUUGGGCGUAAAGAGCUUGUAGGCGGUUUGUCGCGUCUGCCGUGAAAAUUCGAGGCUCAACCUCGGACUUGCAGUGGGUACGGGCAGACUAGAGUGUGGUAGGGGAGACUGGAAUUCCUGGUGUAGCGGUGGAAUGCGCAGAUAUCAGGAGGAACACCGGUGGCGAAGGCGGGUCUCUGGGCCGAUACUGACGCUGGAGGAGCGAAAGCGUGGGGAGCGAACAGG
Molecule: ribosomal RNA, 254 nt
Filed under: uncultured bacterium
Lineage: Bacteria
Description: partial 16S ribosomal RNA
Rfam family: Bacterial small subunit ribosomal RNA
Source: RNAcentral